This 465-nucleotide ribosomal RNA is filed under the name uncultured bacterium. RNAcentral's name for it is "bacterial SSU rRNA". It matches the Rfam family "Bacterial small subunit ribosomal RNA", at positions 337 to 794 of the family's 1533-position model. The record is from RNAcentral.
ACCUACGGGAGGCAGCAGUGGGGAAUUUUGCGCAAUGGGGGAAACCCUGACGCAGCAACGCCGCGUGAGUGAUGAAGGCCUUCGGGUCGUAAAGCUCUGUCAGUGGGGAAGAAAUGGGGCUGGCUAAUAUCCAGUUCUCUUGACGGUACCCACAAAGGAAGCACCGGCUAACUCCGUGCCAGCAGCCGCGGUAAUACGGAGGGUGCAAGCGUUGUUCGGAUUUAUUGGGCGUAAAGCGCGUGUAGGCGGUCUUUUAAGUCUCAUGUGAAAGCCCCGGGCUCAACCCGGGAAGUGCAUGGGAUACUGGGAGACUUGAAUACGGGAGAGGGUAGUGGAAUUCCUAGUGUAGGAGUGAAAUCCGUAGAUAUUAGGAGGAACACCGGUGGCGAAGGCGGCUACCUGGACCGAUAUUGACGCUGAGACGCGAAAGCGUGGGGAGCAAACAGGAUUAGAUACCCCGGUAGG